This 296-nucleotide ribosomal RNA is filed under the name uncultured Halogeometricum sp. RNAcentral describes it as "partial 16S ribosomal RNA". The stretch from base 48 to 296 matches the Rfam family "Bacterial small subunit ribosomal RNA", at positions 547 to 795 of the family's 1533-position model. The record is from RNAcentral. Lineage: Archaea; Methanobacteriati; Methanobacteriota; Halobacteria; Halobacteriales; Haloferacaceae.
UGCGGGGGCGUGGCGGGCGGGGUAUAGGUAGGGUGGGAUCGGUAAUCGGAAUGACGGGGCGUAAAGCGUGCGCAGGCGGUUUUGUAGGACAGAGGGGAAAUCCCCGGGCUCAACCUGGGAACUGCCUUUGUGACUGCAAGGCUAGAGUACGGCAGAGGGGGAUGGAAUUCCGCGUGUAGCAGUGAAAUGCGUAGAUAUGCGGAGGAACACCGAUGGCGAAGGCAAUCCCCUGGGCCUGUACUGACGCUCAUGCACGAAAGCGUGGGGAGCAAACAGGAUUAGAUACCCGAGUAGUC